GACGCUGGAGAGGUUAAAAAACCUGUUCCCAGCUUCUUCACACACCGACCUCCGGUGCUCAUGCUCUCUCACUAAAACAUACAUGUUCACUCACCCCCCUCGAUUAGCAUCUGCUGUCGGGAGGUUAGUGGAGUGUAAAGACCUGCUUCUUCCUCAGAGAGAUUUCUUUGUUCCUUUUUCUUGUGACUUUUUGGAGUGGAGUCGGGCCGGCAUGGCGUGGAUGAGACGUGCAUUUGGACCCAGCAUGUCAGUCUGUCUCAUCUGGACUUAUCAAGUGACCCAGGCAGCCAUCUACACACUCGCAGGUCCGUGUAUCUACAAAGAGGUUUCGUUUGAGCCUGGACAGACCUUCUACAGGGGUUGUAACAAGUGCUACUGCCACGAAAAUGGCUACUUCUGUCUCUCACUGAUGAAACGUGGUGUGAAGCCUACAGCUGGAUCUGGUGAAGGCAGACACACACACCUAUGCCCCCCUACAGUCAAAAUACACAAUUGCAAGACUCUGGCUGUGGACAACCUCUUGAAUAAAGUAGUUACCAUGCAGAGAACAGACCACAUCCAACCUUCAAUUUGUCAACUUGUUCAAUCAAAGAAGGAACCAAUUCCCAAAUUGAACGACCCAACUCCAAAAGUUUCAUCCUUCGUUUCAAUAAAUGUGUGUAGGAGGUCAGUGUGUGUGUUAAUGUUAUUAAAAAGUGGGACCGAAGGAUUCCAAAUGGGCAUAGAUUCCAAUUCUAAUAGAUUCUGAAACACAAGUACCAUACAAAGUAGCAACAUACUGACUGUACAGUAGUAUCCCAUCAUCCCAAUAUGAUUGCUCAGCUUCCUGCCCUCCUCCCCUUACUUUAGUGACCACUGAUCUUGAUCACACCGACAGCGUCAUUGUUUUUUGGUACACAAAAAGUACAUUCAUUUCCAAUGGAAAUCUGUGAUUGCCCUGCAGCAUUGCAGAGGCAGUUGCAGUGCUUUCUGUAUAAAUUUGAUUUGUCGAACGUAUCCACCAAAUCGUAUGCGUAGACGGCUUUGACGCAUACGUUCAAUUAAUUUAAUUAAUGCAUCACACAACACACUAACUGCCUCUGCAAAGCAAACUCAGCGUUCCAUUGAACAUUAAUGUACUUCUGGUGUACAAAAAUGCAAUGACCAUCGGUGUGAUCGAG
Molecule: long non-coding RNA, 1160 nt
Filed under: Salmo salar (Atlantic salmon)
Lineage: Eukaryota; Metazoa; Chordata; Actinopteri; Salmoniformes; Salmonidae
Description: lncRNA (ENSSSAG00000094957.1, ENSSSAG00020076374.1)
Source: RNAcentral